Molecule: ribosomal RNA, 253 nt
Filed under: uncultured bacterium
Lineage: Bacteria
Description: partial 16S ribosomal RNA
Rfam family: Bacterial small subunit ribosomal RNA
Source: RNAcentral
UACGUAGGCGGCAAGCGUUGUCCGGAUUUAUUGGGUUUAAAGGGUGCGUAAGCGGUUGUCUAAGUCAGUGGUGAAAUCCGGCAGCUUAACUGUCGAUGUGCCAUUGAUACUGGAUGACUUGAGUACUGAUGAGGUAGGCGGAAUUGACGGUGUAGCGGUGAAAUGCUUAGAUAUCGUCAAGAACACCGAUAGCGAAGGCAGCUUACUAAGGAGUAACUGACGCUGAGGCACGAAAGCCAGGGGAGCGAACGGG